Molecule: long non-coding RNA, 720 nt
Filed under: Pan troglodytes (chimpanzee)
Lineage: Eukaryota; Metazoa; Chordata; Mammalia; Primates; Hominidae
Description: long non-coding RNA NONPTRT018468
Source: RNAcentral
CAACCAUCAGGCCUCCCAGAGAGAAUCGAGGAACUGAAAUCUCCCAUAUCACCACAUCCAGACAAUGAGACAUGGCUGCUGCCUGUUGACAAACUCCUCUUCUUUAUACCUCCCGAAUUUCUGUUUUCCUGCAUAUGGUUACGUCCAAUAGGUCAGCGGCAUAGUGGCGCCCCAGAACACGGACUUCGAGGACGUGAACGAAGGUCUGCUGGAGCAGAGGAACUGAAUUUGACAAGGCAAACGGGGACCCCAGGACGAGUCUGCCGGCAGUGGAUAUAAGGUCGGUGCCCUAAAGAGGUAAUAGGAGCAGUGCUUUAAAGAAGUACUGGGAACGGGAAGUUUUCUGAAUCAGGGUAACAAGGGGAAGAAUUCGUCUAUUAAAGAAAAACAUUGCUCUCCCUCUCCCCACGGUCUCCCUCUCCCUCUCUUUCCACGGUCUCCCUCUGAUGCCGAGCCAAAGCUGGACUGUACUGCUGCCAUCUCGGCUCACUGCAACCUCCCUGCCUGAUUCUCCUGCCUCAGCCUGCCGAGUCCCUGCGAUUGCAGGCGCGUGCCGCCACGCCUGACUGGUUUUCGUAUUUUUUUGGUGGAGACGGGGUUUCGCUGUGUUGGCCGGGCUGGUCUCCAGCUCCUAACCGCGAGUGAUCCGCCAGCCUCGGCCUCCAGAGGUGCCGGGAUUGCAGACGGUGUCUGGUUCACUCAGUGCUCAAUGGUGCCCAG